CACGUAAGUAAUCUACCUUCGAGUGGGGAAUAACGUCCGGAAACGGACGCUAAUACCGCAUAAUGCAGCGGCAUCGCAAGAUGACAGUUGUUAAAGAUUUAUCGCUUGAAGAGGAGCUUGCGGCAGAUUAGCUAGUUGGUAAGGUAAUGGCUUACCAAGGCUACGAUCUGUAACCGGUCUAAGAGGACGGUCGGUCACACUGACACUGAAUAACGGGUCAGACUCCUACGGGAGGCAGCAGUCGGGAAUUUUGGGCAAUGGGCGAAAGCCUGACCCAGCAACGCCGCGUGAAGGAUGAAG
Molecule: ribosomal RNA, 300 nt
Filed under: uncultured Chloracidobacterium sp.
Lineage: Bacteria; Pseudomonadati; Acidobacteriota; Blastocatellia; Chloracidobacteriales; Chloracidobacteriaceae
Description: bacterial SSU rRNA
Rfam family: Bacterial small subunit ribosomal RNA
Source: RNAcentral